CAGAGGUGGCAAGCGUUGUUCGGAAUUACUGGGCGUAAAGGGCGCGUAGGCGGCCUUCUAAGUCAGACGUGAAAUCCCCAGGCUUAACUUGGGAACUGCGUCUGAUACUGGAGGGCUCGAGUGCGGGAGAGGGAUGUGGAAUUCCAGGUGUAGCGGUGAAAUGCGUAGAUAUCUGGAGGAACACCGGUGGCGAAGGCGGCAUCCUGAACCGACACUGACGCUGAGGCGCGAAAGCUAGGGGAGCAAACGGGAUUAGAUACCCCGGUAGUCCUAGCCCUAAACGAUGAGUGCUUGGUGUGGCGGGUAUCGAUCCCUGCCGUGCCGAAGCUAACGCAUUAAGCACUCCGCCUGGGGAGUACGGUCGCAAGGCUG
RNAcentral lists this ribosomal RNA (372 nucleotides) under uncultured organism. Its description in RNAcentral is "bacterial SSU rRNA". It matches the Rfam family "Bacterial small subunit ribosomal RNA", at positions 526 to 896 of the family's 1533-position model. The record is from RNAcentral.